Molecule: ribosomal RNA, 441 nt
Filed under: uncultured bacterium
Lineage: Bacteria
Description: partial 16S ribosomal RNA
Rfam family: Bacterial small subunit ribosomal RNA
Source: RNAcentral
CCUACGUGAGGCAGCAGUGGGGAAUAUUGCACAAUGGGGGGAAGCCUGAUGCAGCGACGCCGCGUGGGUGAAGGAGUAUUUCGGUAUGUAAAGCACUAUCAGCAGGGAAGAACAAUGACGGUAGCUGACUAAGAAGCACCGGCUAAAUACGUGCCAGCAGCCGCGGUAAUACGUAUGGUGGAAGCGUUAUCAGGAUUUACGGGGUGUAAAGGGAGCGCAGGCGGCGCGUUAAGCCGGGUGUGAAAGUACGCGGCCCAACCGCGGGACUGCAUUGGGAACUGGCGCGCUGGAGUGCCGGAGGGGUAGGCGGAAUUCCUAGUGUAGCGGUGAAAUGCGUAGAUAUUAGGAGGAACACCAGUGGCGAAGGCGGCCUACUGGACGGUGACUGACGCUGAGGCUCGAAAGCGUGGGGAGCAAACAGGAUUAGAUACCCCAGUAGUC